ACCCCACUGCUAUCGGGAUGGGACUAAGACAUGCUAGUCGCGCGCUUCCCAGCUAUGUGGGAGGAGCGGCGUACAGCUCAGUAACACGUGGCUAACCUGCCCUUGGGACGGGAACACCCCCGGGAAACUGGGGCUAAUUCUCGAUAGGUGAAGAACUCUGGAAUGAGUCUUCGCCCAAAAGCCAUUUGGAUCAUGCUUCCAGGGGGCGCCCAAGGAUGGGGCCGCGACCGAUCAGGUUGUUGGUGAGGUAAUGGCCCACCAAGCCUAUAACCGGUGCGGGCCGUGAGAGCGGGAGCCCGGAGAUGGGCACUGAGACAAGGGCCCAGGUCCUACGGGGCGCAGCAGUCGCGAAAACUUUGCAAUACACGAAAGUGUGACAGGGUCAUCCCGAGUGCCGACCGCUGAGGUUGGCUUUUACCCAGUCUAGAAAGCUGGGGGAAUAAGGAGAGGGCAAGUCUGGUGUCAGCCGCCGCGGUAAUACCAGCUCUCCGAGUGGUGUGGACGUUUAUUGGGCCUAAAGCAUCCGUAGCUGGCUAAGUUAGUCCCUUGUUAAAUCCACCGAAUUAAUCGUUGGAUUGCGGGGGAUACUGCUUGGCUAGGGGACGAGAGAGGCAGACGGUAUUUCCGGGGUAGGGGUGAAAUCCUAUAAUCCCGGGAAGACCACCAGUGGCGAAGGCUGUCUGCUAGAACGCGCCCGACGGUGAGGGAUGAAAGCUGGGGGAGCGAACCGGAUUAGAUACCCGGGUAGUCCCAGCUGUAAACGAUGCAGGCUAGGUGUUUGGACGGCCACGUGCCGUUCUAGUGCCGCAGGGAAGMUGUUAAGCCUGCCGCCUGGGGAGUACGAUCGCAAGAUUGAAACUUAAAGGAAU
This 869-nucleotide ribosomal RNA is filed under the name uncultured crenarchaeote. Its description in RNAcentral is "bacterial SSU rRNA". It matches the Rfam family "Archaeal small subunit ribosomal RNA", at positions 21 to 865 of the family's 1478-position model. The record is from RNAcentral. Lineage: Archaea; Thermoproteati; Thermoproteota.